This 731-nucleotide long non-coding RNA is filed under the name Equus caballus (horse). RNAcentral describes it as "lncRNA (ENSECAG00000046183.1)". Lineage: Eukaryota; Metazoa; Chordata; Mammalia; Perissodactyla; Equidae. The record is from RNAcentral.
CAGAAAUCCAGCUCUGUCUCACUAUGGAGGCCAUGACUUGUAAUGGAUCAGUGGAUGGCUCACCAAUCAUCUACCUGGACUCUAUCCCAAAGAUACACGGGCAGUGAUUCAUUAGGCUCCUCACUCAUCAGUAGGGGACUGGUUGAACAAACUAUAAAAACAUGCAGUGCAGCUAUAGAGAAGAAAUGAUGGAGCCCUCUGCAUCCUGCUGUGGUGUCGUCUCUAGGAUAUGCUGGUCACCGAGAAAACCAAGCUGCAGAACAGUGUUUUGGGCCCGGUGCUGGGACAUCUCCAGGCUGCCUUCAAUUAUGAGCCAAUAAAUAUGAGAUGCGCUGCGCAACGAGCUGCUGCUUGGACCGCCAGCCCCUCCCCCACUGCGCCCCUGCCAGCCUCUGCACCAAGGAAGAUUGGAUUUUGUGUCGUUCAUUUUUUAUCUCCAGUCUAUGUCAGAUGGGGAGAUACAGGACGUGGGCAGUGGAUAAUUUUAUGCUUCCUCCACUUAUCGGGCGCAGCACUGAGAUGGGGUGUGUGAUGUCCUCAGGUCACCUACUGCCCUCAUGUGGUGAAGUCCCCCACCUCAAGCCAUUAGCACUGGGAUCCUGCUCUCUGCUGGGGCAAAAGGACAUGUGCAGAGGAAAGAGUCCUAGGCAGGAAGACGUGGGACCUGGGUUCAAGCCUUCACCCUGCUGCUGACCGGAUGUGCAACCUUGGGCAAGUGUCUGAAGACAUUC